GGAAAUAUUUCGUCGUAAAAACAAAGAACAAUAUUCGUCGUAAAAACCACGUAAACUUUCCAAGUAAGGAGGACACUACAUUUCCUCGUAAAUACCUCGCAACCAUUUCCUCGUAAAUACCUCGCAACCGUUUUCUCGUAAAUACCUCGCAACUCUUUCCUCGUAAAUUCAACGUAAAUAUUUCCACGUAAAAUACUCGUUACACUUUCCUCGUAGUGUUGACGUAAAUAUUUCGCUGGUUACUUCCUCGUAACUUUUCGA
This 261-nucleotide long non-coding RNA is filed under the name Brassica napus (rape). RNAcentral's name for it is "long non-coding RNA (BNAP_LNC013489)". The record is from RNAcentral. Lineage: Eukaryota; Viridiplantae; Streptophyta; Magnoliopsida; Brassicales; Brassicaceae.